UACGUAGGGUGCAAGCGUUGUCCGGAAUUAUUGGGCGUAAAGAGCUCGUAGGCGGUUUGUCGCGUCUGCUGUGAAAACCCGAGGCUCAACCUCGGGCCUGCAGUGGGUACGGGCAGACUAGAGUGCGGUAGGGGAGAUUGGAAUUCCUGGUGUAGCGGUGGAAUGCGCAGAUAUCAGGAGGAACACCAAUGGCGAAGGCAGAUCUCUGGGCCGUAACUGACGCUGAGGAGCGAAAGCAUGGGGAGCGAAUGGG
RNAcentral lists this ribosomal RNA (253 nucleotides) under uncultured bacterium. RNAcentral's name for it is "partial 16S ribosomal RNA". It matches the Rfam family "Bacterial small subunit ribosomal RNA", at positions 524 to 776 of the family's 1533-position model. The record is from RNAcentral.